Long non-coding RNA from Juglans microcarpa x Juglans regia, 180 nucleotides. RefSeq lists it as uncharacterized. The transcript has 3 exons. The record is from RefSeq and is a predicted model, not a curated record. NCBI's taxonomy places the organism in Eukaryota, Viridiplantae, Streptophyta, Magnoliopsida, Fagales, Juglandaceae.
UGCAACCGUGAAUUGUGCAACAGCCGCAUAAUCGUUUUGAAAAAAGUGAAUAAAACAUGGGACCCACAUGAAAAAAUUUAAUUUUUUAAUAGUGGAUCUCACUAUUUUUCAAAGCGAUUACGCGGCGUUUAUACACUUCAUGGUUGUAUCUAUGAUUACUCGACUGUUAUGACAAAGAAA